CCCACGGCUCACGCCGUGGGCUAUUAUCUGCCGCCGCUCCGCGGCU
RNAcentral lists this small RNA (46 nucleotides) under Acidobacteriia bacterium SbA2. Its description in RNAcentral is "Solibacteres bacterium SbA2 Acido-Lenti-1". It matches the Rfam family "Acido-Lenti-1 RNA". The record is from RNAcentral. Lineage: Bacteria; Pseudomonadati; Acidobacteriota; Terriglobia.